Molecule: ribosomal RNA, 533 nt
Filed under: Alternaria sp. JGLJ2-2-1
Lineage: Eukaryota; Fungi; Ascomycota; Dothideomycetes; Pleosporales; Pleosporaceae
Description: eukaryotic LSU rRNA
Rfam family: 5.8S ribosomal RNA (bases 154-307)
Source: RNAcentral
GGCGGGCUGGAACCUCUCGGGGUUACAGCCUUGCUGAAUUAUUCACCCUUGUCUUUUGCGUACUUCUUGUUUCCUUGGUGGGUUCGCCCACCACUAGGACAAACAUAAACCUUUUGUAAUUGCAAUCAGCGUCAGUAACAAAUUAAUAAUUACAACUUUCAACAACGGAUCUCUUGGUUCUGGCAUCGAUGAAGAACGCAGCGAAAUGCGAUAAGUAGUGUGAAUUGCAGAAUUCAGUGAAUCAUCGAAUCUUUGAACGCACAUUGCGCCCUUUGGUAUUCCAAAGGGCAUGCCUGUUCGAGCGUCAUUUGUACCCUCAAGCUUUGCUUGGUGUUGGGCGUCUUGUCUCUAGCUUUGCUGGAGACUCGCCUUAAAGUAAUUGGCAGCCGGCCUACUGGUUUCGGAGCGCAGCACAAGUCGCACUCUCUAUCAGCAAAGGUCUAGCAUCCAUUAAGCCUUUUUUUCAACUUUUGACCUCGGAUCAGGUAGGGAUACCCGCUGAACUUAAGCAUAUCAAUAGCCCGGAGGAAGGA